AUAUACACAUAUAAGUAAAUUUGUAGGAUACUUAUACAAGUGAAUUUUAUUUACUUGUAUAGGUAAAAAAAAAAAUGGCUUAGUUAUGUCCCUUAGGCACUCAGAAUUUUUUACUUGUAUAAGUAAAAAAAUCAUCCUUUCUUCUUUUCUUGAAUUCUUAAGAUUUCUUUGCUCUAAUAGAAUUUUAAAUUGUGUACCCUUUACAGAUGUCUUUACUAAUUAUUUAAGUGUAAUUUCAUGGACAAUGAAAAUCCCAUUUGUCUGUUAUCUUCAUAACACUGCUCAUUUACAAGCCCCAAAGGAGCAAUUUUUGAUUGCCUUGCGCAAAUAUACAAGAUCUUUGCUCAAUCAGUUUCUUUGAUGAAUUAAUGAGAUGAAACAUUGAACUUUAAUGAAAAAAUUUGAGCAAACCUGGGAAAAAUCAUUAAAGGCAUGAUUUUACAUCUCAAAACUUGAGGAUUUUUGUGGGAUUGUAAGAAAAAUUUACUUAUACAAGUAAAUUUUUUAGAAAAUUAAGGGGAGAUUAUUCAAACAUUAUUUAUUUACUUAUAUGUGUAUAUUUUUUUUUACUUCUUCAAGUAAUUAAAAUACACUUGUACAAGUAGUACCCCUGACUG
This 617-nucleotide long non-coding RNA is filed under the name Mytilus galloprovincialis (Mediterranean mussel). Lineage: Eukaryota; Metazoa; Mollusca; Bivalvia; Mytilida; Mytilidae. The record is from RNAcentral.